This 251-nucleotide ribosomal RNA is filed under the name uncultured bacterium. Its description in RNAcentral is "partial 16S ribosomal RNA". It matches the Rfam family "Bacterial small subunit ribosomal RNA", at positions 524 to 774 of the family's 1533-position model. The record is from RNAcentral.
UACGUAGGGUGCGAGCGUUGUCCGGAAUUAUUGGGCGUAAAGAGCUCGUAGGCGGUUCGUCGCGUCGAAUGUGAAAACCCGGGGCUCAACUCCGGGCCUGCAUUCGAUACGGGCGGACUAGAGUUCGGUAGGGGAGACUGGAAUUCCUGGUGUAGCGGUGAAAUGCGCAGAUAUCAGGAGGAACACCGAUGGCGAAGGCAGGUCUCUGGGCAUUAACUGACGCUGAGGAGCGAAAGCGUGGGGAGCGAACA